AGUUCGUGGUGCGGGCAACAUCAGAACAAGUCCUUGUACCUCUCCCAGGCCUCAUACAUGCUCUCGUCAUCAAACUGCACAAAAAAAGAUAUAUCAUUUCUCAAUCU
Non-coding RNA from Ricinus communis (castor bean), 107 nucleotides. The record is from Rfam. NCBI's taxonomy places the organism in Eukaryota, Viridiplantae, Streptophyta, Magnoliopsida, Malpighiales, Euphorbiaceae.